Molecule: small RNA, 129 nt
Filed under: Brenneria sp. hezel4-2-4
Lineage: Bacteria; Pseudomonadati; Pseudomonadota; Gammaproteobacteria; Enterobacterales; Pectobacteriaceae
Also listed under: 3 other names
Description: RtT sRNA
Rfam family: RtT RNA
About the family: This family represents a bacterial cis-regulatory element known as RtT RNA. The exact function of RtT is unknown although it is thought that it may be involved in changing the cellular response in relation to amino acid starvation.
Source: RNAcentral
AGCGGUUUAGAAUCGUGAAGGAUGAGAACCGUAAGGUUCGACAAAAUCGAUAUCGUCGAUUUUGAACAACGCGCAAGCGUUGACCCGAAGGGUGAGGCCUUAGGCCGAAUAAUCCUGCACGACCCACCC